Molecule: RNA transcript, 2506 nt
Organism: Gossypium raimondii (Peruvian cotton)
Lineage: Eukaryota; Viridiplantae; Streptophyta; Magnoliopsida; Malvales; Malvaceae
Gene name: fe-S cluster assembly factor HCF101, chloroplastic
Exons: 4
Source: RefSeq, a predicted model, not a curated record
CGAAGUUUAAUUACAGUGUUCUAAUAUAUUAUCUAUAAGCUUAAAAAGGGUCCAAGUGAAAGCUUAGGGUAAAACCAGUAUUAGAUUACAUCUUUGUUCUUAGAUUUUUUAUAUGGAGUUUGUUGAAUCAAACAGACAGGAUAUGGAUGAAUGGGUUGAUUUAAAAACCGAUGAUUCAUUCAGCAAAGCUACUUUUGAACAACACUUGAACCAAUUCAAGUCAAUUGUAAGGCAACAUGGUGCUGAGUUUGAAGCCAAAUUACAAGAAUUGGAGUUGAUUCCGAAUCCAGAUAUUCAAAAGUUAUUGAGUAAGAGUACGCUUCUGUUGAAGGUGAUCGAAAACGAGUUUAAACAGGUCGAGAUCGGAGAUGAUAGCGAACAAGUUUCGAUCACAAGUUGGAAGAUGGUGAUGAUGGCGAACAAGAACUACUAAUUAUUUUCCUAGAUCAAUCAAGUCUUUCAGAUAUAAGCGAGAUGUGGCCUUAUGAUGAACAAGCAAUGGUGCAGCAACUUCCACUGUUUCUUUUCCUAGAUCCGACAGGUCCUUCAAUGUGGUCGUACGCAGCCUCAUUCCUAACCAGGUUCCUCGACCCCUUUGGAUGCAACUGGAUCUCAGUACGUUUUCUUUUUUAGGCUAAAAAAAAUUACAACUGAAACGUUAGCAAACGCCAAGCUGUUUGGAAAGCAUUUUUCAGUGCGUUGAAAAUGCAUUUCAUCUCACCGGAGGCUGAAUUCCAGACUGGAGCCUUUUGCUCCAGGGAAAAUUUAGCAACUCCAGUUGCUUUUUCUUUUCCUCUUUUACCCAUAUAUUCUUCAGGCUUUUCUGUAUGUUUGGUUACCGUUGUUCUCUCCUUUCCCCUUCCCCUUUCCCUUGGGUUGCAAAUCAGUUUGGUCAAGGACCUCUUCCGGUUCCUCCUUCAUCCAGGUAAGGCUCCUUCUCCUUCUUUCGUUCUUCAUUCCUUUUUCUUCUUCCGUUCUUCAUCUUCUCUUCUCAGCAUAUUCUGUUUUGUUUCUUUUCUUUCUCUCUUUCUCAUGCAAAUCUACCAUGAAUUCUUCGCUGGGUCUUGCUUAAGAUGGAUUUCCAAGAGCAAUUCUUCAAGGAACGAAUCAAAUUUAUCCAUGAAGCGAGGGAUGAGAAGGAAGAGAGUUUUGAGAAGCUGCAACAGCAAGAGCGUGAGAAGGUCAAGCAGUCUAACCCCAAUCCUUCAAACGCAGAGGAAUACAGGCGCAGCAACCUUGAGAAAGAAAGAAGAGGCUUGAUUCUUGCCAGUUUUUUCCCUUGAUUUGGGUUAACACACAAGUAUGCUUUUUUUGUAUGACAAUUUUUUUUACAUGUUUGGAAACCAAAUAUUCAUUUGUUUGUAUACUAUAGCUUCAUCACACUUUGAUUGAUUCAAAUCUAAAUUUUUGUGAACAAAUAUUGUUGUACAAUAUUAGUUGCAUCUUCUAGUGUCUUUCCUUUUUGCAAUAUAUAACUGCAAUUGAGUAUAGAUUGAAAAUCGAGUCUAUAGUUGUAUACAUUUAUUUGAAGAAGCAAUUUGAUUGUCAAGAGUUGUUCUAAGUACUUAGGGGAAAUAUAAAUAAGAAAGAUAGGAGAGAUUAAUGGAGAUGUUAACUAUAGGAUUAAAGGUGGAGACUUGUGACAAAAGAGCCCUGCUUUGCUAUAGGACAGUUCUAAGAGACCUGCUUUGCUAUACGGUAGGGAAUGUUGGGGUAACAAGAAGCAAUAUAUACAAAACACUAGUCUAGCCGUGAGACAAAUGUUAAGAUAGAUGUAAGACUAAGGAUGUAGUUAGAUAUGAUGAAAUUCAUCUCAAAGUUGAGUAAGGUGAUAGAAAACCAUUUAUAUUGGUUUGACGAUAUAAGGCACGGAUCGACGGAUGCAUGUGAUUGAAAGAUCGAGUAAAUUGACAUUACACAAGAUCGAUUAUAGGUAAGAAGAUGGUGGUGGAUAAGAAUGACUGGAGUAGCAGGAUUCAUUUGUCAUGUACCUGACAUAAAAAGCUUUUUAUGCUUGAUUUUUUAUUUAAUGUCGUAGGUUUCCUAAAAAGCUGCAGUACGGUGACAUUCCAGAAGAUAUUGAACCUGAAGAAAUUCGACCUAUGGGAAACCAUGCUAUGUCAAUUACGUGGCCAGAUGGAUUUAGCCAGAUCGCUCCCUAUGAUCAGCUCCAGAUGAUAGAGCGUUUAGUCGAUGUUCCUCAACCGACAGCCGUCCAAUCAUGAUGAUAAGUUUCCUCCUUUCAUUUGUGGCCUAUUCAGAUCAAUACCAUGAUUCCACCGAACAAGGAAUAUCAUGCAUUUCUACUACAAAGCUUGUUGGAGUCAAAUGAAACUAAAGGGAGUUUAGGACAUUACUUGAAGCACAAUAACCUCAAUUUUAAGACCAGAGCUUCUAUGUAUUUAUAGGCAUAUGCAUGUAUGUAUUAGACUGAAAACUCUUUCAGAUGUAAUUUUUCUCAAGAACUCUACGCAAAGGUUCAAGAAGCUUCACUUUACAACAAAAA